AAAACGUUGGUGUUUGUAUUGGAAAACCAACUUUUAAAUAUUUAAUAGAAAAAUGCUGAGGUGGUGCGAUUAUGACCUUUGGAUAUCUAGUUAAUGGACAUAAUUAAAAGUUAAGGAUACACAAGGAUAUGUGUCAAACAAGGAGAGGAUCCUUUUCCGUCUCACUGACCCAUAAACUGAACCAGGAUAUGUAAUUUGCUAAUAAUAUAAUUAAUAAACAACAGGCACUAAUCUUCAAAAAAAAAAAACAAACAGGCGCUAAUUCUUUGUACAUCAAUAUAUGGCUGUGAAUUGCCGAGUUCCACAUACAUGAUAAGCUAUGAGGCCCGGGAUCAGAUGAAGAAUUUAUAGAAUAAGAUAUGCAUGUUAUAAGACAAGUGUUCCACUUAGGCAGUAACAAGGCUAUGGAUGAACUUUGGGAACGGAAAACUAGUUGAUUAGCUAGGUUGAAGCUUAUAUUAGUUAAUUAAUCUGUACACCAUGACCAGAGCUUACAGAUGGUUUUUUCACCCUUGUUCUUAACUCUCUCGCUGUACUUGAGCUCGUGCCCUCAUCUUCCUGCAGCAUUAGCAAAGUUAAUGAUAUCUAUUGGAAGGCCAAACCUGAAAACCAAAGUACUUAUGAUGGACCUGAAAAUAUUAUUCCCACUAGCCCUGAACACUGUUAAAAGGAAGAGGGUGAAUUCUUACUCUGCAUUUCAUUUCUCGUUCAAUCACAGGAGGAGGAGGAGGAUCAGACAUUAAAACUAUAUGAUCGUAUUGAACGGUGGAGUAGUCAUCGAGUCCCAGACAGUUGAUGCAAGGCUUGAUGAGUUUCUCAAAGAAAUGGUAGAACCUGUGUCGUUCUUCUCUGUGCUGAUCCUGAACUUCAGCUGAUGAUGAUGAUGAAGCUUUCAUAUUGUAGAACUUGCUCGAUCUGCCUUGUACUCUUUGACAGGUUUGCAGCUACUAAUUCUCAGGUGUGAUAUAUUGCAUUGUUGUUUGAUGUUUUGAUCGGUGGUCUGGUAGUGCAGUGGUUAUUUAAGAGACACCUGCCAUAUAUGCCACCGUGGUAAUGCACUUCGAGACUAAUUUUAUUUUUCAUUCUCUGUUGAUUUGUUUUUUUUUUUUAUUGAUGCCACGUAAUAAGCUACGUCGGUUAUGUUGACAAGUUAGUAAGACUCAAAGUUCGUUGUAUUACGAUAGUAUAAAACGAAAUUAGUCCCUUGACGCAUGCGAAUUUAAAGACCUCUUAAGCCACAAACUAGUGAGAGUCGGUACUCAAAAAGUG
Molecule: long non-coding RNA, 1269 nt
Filed under: Fragaria vesca (wild strawberry)
Lineage: Eukaryota; Viridiplantae; Streptophyta; Magnoliopsida; Rosales; Rosaceae
Description: long non-coding RNA (FVES_LNC002769)
Source: RNAcentral